GUGUGGAGGAGGAAGAGAGCUGCGCAGAGGGAAAUGGAGUCGUGCACCUGGCUUAGCGGGAACUUUGCCUAAUUAGAUGCGGCUCUGGAGGCCCUGAACUAUCAUUUGGAACUUUGUACCUGGAGGCUGAAUCCUGAGAACAUUCUCUGCUUCCUAGGGAAGAUUCGCCCUUCCUUUGUAGCCUUUUCACCCGCUAUUUUCUCACUGAUGAAAUCUUGAAUGGCAGACUUGGCCGUAUCUGCAUCAUCUU
This is a non-coding RNA of Pogona vitticeps (central bearded dragon), 250 nucleotides long. NCBI's taxonomy places the organism in Eukaryota, Metazoa, Chordata, Lepidosauria, Squamata, Agamidae. The record is from RefSeq and is a predicted model, not a curated record.